CCUACGUGAGGCCGCAGUGGGGAAUAUUGGGCAAUGGGCGCAAGCCUGACCCAGCAACGCCGCGUGAAGGAAGAAGGCUUUCGGGUUGUAAACUUCUUUUCUCAGGGACGAAGCAAGUGACGGUACCUGAGGAAUAAGCCACGGCUAACUACGUGCCAGCAGCCGCGGUAAUACGUAGGUGGCAAGCGUUAUCCGGCUUUACUGGGUGUAAAGGGCGUGUAGGCGGGAAAGCAAGUCAGAUGUGAAAACCAUGGGCUCAACCUGUGGCCUGCAUUUGAAACUGUUUUUCUUGAGUACUGGAGAGGCAGACGGAAUUCCUAGUGUAGCGGUGAAAUCCGUAGAUAUCUGGAGGAACAUCAGGGGCGAAGGCGACUAUCUGGCACAUAACUGACGCUGAGGAGUGAAAGCGUGGGUAGCAAACAGGAUUAGAUACCCCAGUAGUC
RNAcentral lists this ribosomal RNA (443 nucleotides) under uncultured bacterium. RNAcentral's name for it is "partial 16S ribosomal RNA". It matches the Rfam family "Bacterial small subunit ribosomal RNA", at positions 338 to 795 of the family's 1533-position model. The record is from RNAcentral.